GUGCCAGCAGCCGCGGUAAUACGUAGGGUGCAAGCGUUAAUCGGAAUUACUGGGCGUAAAGCGUGCGCAGGCGGUUAUGCAAGACAGAUGUGAAAUCCCCGGGCUUAACCUGGGAACCGCAUUUGUGACUGCAUAGCUGGAGUACGGCAGAGGGGGAUGGAAUUCCGCGUGUAGCAGUGAAAUGCGUAGAUAUGCGGAGGAACACCGAUGGCGAAGGCAGCCCCCUGGGUCAAGAUUGACGCUCAUGCACGAAAGCGUGGGGAGCAAACAGGAUUAGAUACCCUGGUAGUCCACGCCCUAAACGAUGUCAACUAGUUGUCGGGUCUUCAUUGACUUGGUAACGUAGCUAACGCGUGAAGUUGACCGCCUGGGGAGUACGGUCGCAAGACUGAAACUCAAAGGAAUUGACGG
RNAcentral lists this ribosomal RNA (411 nucleotides) under uncultured bacterium. Its description in RNAcentral is "bacterial SSU rRNA". It matches the Rfam family "Bacterial small subunit ribosomal RNA", at positions 505 to 916 of the family's 1533-position model. The record is from RNAcentral.